Molecule: ribosomal RNA, 1383 nt
Filed under: uncultured bacterium
Lineage: Bacteria
Description: 16S ribosomal RNA
Rfam family: Bacterial small subunit ribosomal RNA
Source: RNAcentral
AGAGUUUGAUCCUGGCUCAGGAUGAACGCUGGCGGCGUGCCUAAUACAUGCAAGUCGAACGCAUCACUUUGGUGAUGAGUGGCGAACGGGUGAGUAAUACAUAAGUAACCUGGCCCAUACAGGGGGAUAACUGCUGGAAACGGCAGCUAAGACCGCAUACGUGUAGAGAUCGCAUGAACUCUAUAUGAAAAGUGCCAAGGCACUGGUAAGGGAUGGACUUAUGGCGCAUUAGCUAGUUGGCAGGGUAAAGGCCUACCAAGGCGACGAUGCGUAGCCGACCUGAGAGGGUGACCGGCCACACUGGGACUGAGACACGGCCCAGACUCCUACGGGAGGCAGCAGUAGGGAAUUUUCGGCAAUGGGGGAAACCCUGACCGAGCAACGCCGCGUGAAGGAAGAAGUAACUCGUUAUGUAAACUUCUGUCAUAGAGGAAGAACGGUGGAUAUAGGGAAUGAUAUCCAAGUGACGGUACUCUAUAAGAAAGCCACGGCUAACUACGUGCCAGCAGCCGCGGUAAUACGUAGGUGGCGAGCGUUAUCCGGAAUUAUUGGGCGUAAAGAGGGAGCAGGCGGCACUAAGGGUCUGUGGUGAAAGAUCGAAGCUUAACUUCGGUAAGCCAUGGAAACCGUAGAGCUAGAGUGUGUGAGAGGAUCGUGGAAUUCCAUGUGUAGCGGUGAAAUGCGUAGAUAUAUGGAGGAACACCAGUGGCGAAGGCGACGAUCUGGCGCAUAACUGACGCUCAGUCCCGAAAGCGUGGGGAGCAAAUAGGAUUAGAUACCCUAGUAGUCCACGCCGUAAACGAUGAGUACUAAGUGUUGGGGGUCAAACCUCAGUGCUGCAGUUAACGCAAUAAGUACUCCGCCUGAGUAGUACGUUCGCAAGAAUGAAACUCAAAGGAAUUGACGGGGGCCCGCACAAGCGGUGGAGCAUGUGGUUUAAUUCGAGGCAACGCGAAGAACCUUACCAGGUCUUGACAUCGAUCUAAAGGCUCCAGAGAUGGAGAGAUAGCUAUAGAGAAGACAGGUGGUGCAUGGUUGUCGUCAGCUCGUGUCGUGAGAUGUUGGGUUAAGUCCCGCGACGAGCGCAACCCCUGUUGCCAGUUGCCAGCAUUAAGUUGGGGACUCUGGCGAGACUGCCGGUGACAAGCCGGAGGAGGCGGGGAUGACGUCAAAUCAUCAUGCCCCUUAUGACCUGGGCUACACACGUGCUACAAUGGACAGAGCAGAGGGAAGCGAAGCCGCGAGGUGGAGCGAAACCCAGAAAACUGUUCUCAGUUCGGACUGCAGUCUGCAACUCGACUGCACGAAGAUGGAAUCGCUAGUAAUCGCGAAUCAGAAUGUCGCGGUGAAUACGUUCCCGGGUCUUGUACACACCGCCCGUCA